CCUACGGGCGGCAGCAGUGAGGAAUAUUGGUCAAUGGACGAGAGUCUGAACCAGCCAAGUAGCGUGAAGGAUGACUGCCCUAUGGGUUGUAAACUUCUUUUAUAAAGGAAUAAAACGAGGCACGUGUGCCUUUUUGCAUGUACUUUAUGAAUAAGGAUCGGCUAACUCCGUGCCAGCAGCCGCGGUAAUACGGAGGAUCCGAGCGUUAUCCGGAUUUGUUGGGUUUAAAGGGAGCGUAGAUGGGUUGUUAAGUCAGUUGUGAAAGUUUGCGGCUCAACCGUAAAAUUGCAAUUGAUACUGGCAGUCUUGAGUACAGUUGAGGUAGGCGGAAUUCGUGGUGUAGCGGUGAAAUGCUUAGAGAUCACGAAGAACCCCGAUUGCGAAGGCAGCUUACUAAACUGUGACUGACAUUGAUGCUCGAAAGUGUGGGUAUCAAACAGGAUUAGAUACCCCAGUAGUC
Molecule: ribosomal RNA, 460 nt
Filed under: uncultured bacterium
Lineage: Bacteria
Description: partial 16S ribosomal RNA
Rfam family: Bacterial small subunit ribosomal RNA
Source: RNAcentral